AUCACAGACAUAAGAGUAGACCCGCAGUGACUUAGACUGGUUUUACUGUCAUUGCACAAAGAAACAUAAGUGAAAUGGACAAUGAAAUGUCACACAAACACAUAUAUAUAUAAUUACAUAAUAUACAAAUAAUCAUGUAUUGCUGAAUAUAUGUAACUUAGUAUUUUCAAGCAGUCUCAGACAGUCUGAGUGAUGGGAUUGUUGAGCAAUCUGAUGGCCAGUGGGAGAGUCUGGCUGUUCUGCAGCGGAUGCUACAGAACCUCCUCCCAGACGCCAACCGGAUGAACCGACCAUGGAGAAGAUGGGUGGAGUCAGAGAGGAUCUGGUUAGCUCUGGCUACGCAGCCCCCAUCAUCCUCUCUGCUGUCUUCACAGAGACUUCCAGUCUGACAAGUUGCAGCUUCCAGACCAGAUGGACAUGCUGCUGGUCAGCAGGCUCUCAGUGGUUCUUCUGUAGAAGGUGGAGAAGAUGGGUGGAGGAGGGAAGCCUUUCUCAUUCGUCUCAGACAGUGCAGGCGCUGCCGUGCCUUUUUCACCAGUGAAGUGAUGCGAGUCGUCCAGCUGAGGUCGUCUGUAAUGUGAAGCCCAGGAACUCAGUGCUGCUGACCGUCUCCACUGUCGUUGAUGAGGAGAGGUGUGUGGUUGGGUCCAGACCUCCUGAAAUCCACAAUGAUCUCUUUUGUGUUGUUGAGUUCAGGAGCAGGUUGUUGGUUCUGCACCAGUCCUACCCUAACUUGGCUGCAGGACACACGGCAGCCAUCUUGGCUAAACCAAAGCAGCAGAAGAAGUUUCAGCACUGCUGGAUAUUUUUGUUCACAUCGAUGGACUGUUGACCUGAGGACUCAGGAAAUAACUUUUCACAAGUAAGAUGGACAUAAUAUUGUUUAUAUUUUGUGAUCAGAAUAUUACUAUACUGUAUUUAUGUCCACCAGCAAAAUACCAGCUAAUAUUAGCUGUAGCGAAUCGGGGUAAUACCUGGUUCAGCCCCACUAGGAAGUUUCACCCAGUUAAAAGUUUUAACAUUUUUAACAUGGACUUAGAUUAUAUCAAGAGCCUACUUUAGAAAUAAAACAUUAUAAUAAAUAUAUUACAUGUUAUAACAUUCACCAGUUCACACAGGUGGCAAUGACUGUUAUUAAUAUGCAAUUCUUUCACUGUCAAAAGUAAGAUGGCUCCCAAAUCUCCCGUUUUUGUUUUGAAGGUUUCCUGAAGACACGAUGUGAGGAAGAAGUGGGAAAAUAAGGAGAGACGGAUUCACUGCACAGGAUGAAUCUGCUGAAUCACUCUGAAUCUAGAACUCCUCGGCUGGAAGACAUGAAAAAUAACCUUUAUAUAUGUUUAUAUAUAAAAAAAAAAACUAUUAUGAGAGGCUGUAUGCUUUGUGGAGAGUUUCAUAUGGCCGAGUUUUGAUGAAGCUAAAGUUGGUUUCCGAUUCGGAAAUGGCUAAAGGGCGAUUCCACCUAAUAUUUCACUACCUUCUGGCAUCUUUAAUCGACUCUAGUUUAAAAACUACAACACCUAGACUCUUCAAACCAGCACUGCAUUAUUCUGCUCUAAUAGCAGAAUAUUUAGAAUCAUGUUUGGGAUUCAUGAAACCUUUAUCUGAUUUGUGAAACGUCAACAAAGGGCAAUUUCACCACUUUUUUAUCUUGGUCCCAUGAGAACUGCUCUAAUUUCAAAUCUACAACACCUAGACUCUUCACAAAACCUGGACUAAAUUAUUCUCAACUAGUAGUAGAAUAUUUAGAACCAUGUUUGUGAAACUUUUUUCUGAUCUGUGAAACUUCACUUCACAGAUCGCUGCAGAAGAUCUUUCCUUCCAACAGCCAUCACCAUCUACAAUAACUCUCUGAAGAAUUAAUGAGUUACACAAAUAUUUAAUUUCCCUUUGGGAUUAAUAAAGUGAUUUUGAAUUAGAAUUUAAUUUGAAUUUGAAAAAAACUGCAUCGAACAAGUGUGAAUAAUAAUCUAAAUUUUAAUGAAGUUUCACAAAUCCCGUAAAAGUUUCACAAAUCCCAAACAUGGAUUAAAAUAUUCUGCUUUUAGUUGAAAAUAAUCUAGUCCAAGUUUGAAAAGUCUAUGAGUUGUACUGGAGCAGUUCUGGUGUGAUCCAGAUGCAAAACAAAAGUGGUAAAAUCAACCUUUAUUAAAGUUUCACAAAUCCGAUAAAGGUUUCACAAAUCCAAAAACAUGGUCCUAAAUAUUCUGCUAUUAGUUGAGAAUAAUCCAGUGCAGGUUUGAAGUGUCUAUGUCUUGUAGUUUGGGAAUUAGAGCAAAUCUCAUGUGACCCAGACCGAAAAAAAAGGUAAAAAUUGCCCUUUACGGAAGUUUCACAAAUCCAAAAACAUUCAGGGUUUCACAAAUCCCAAGCAUGGUUCUAAAUAUUCCGCUAUUAGAGCAGAAUAAUUCAGUCCAGGUGUGAAGAGUCUAGGUGUUGUAGUUUUUAAACUAGAGUCGAUUAAAGAUGUGGAAGGUAGUGAAAAAUUAGGUGGAAUCGCCCUUUAGCCAUUUCCGAAUCGGAAACCAACUUCAGCUUCGUCGUAUUUUGUAGGUGGCUGCAGCAGCAGCAGCAUUGAAUAAACCAGGACCUUGUAGUUAUCAUUAAAACAAUUAACCUGU
Molecule: long non-coding RNA, 2618 nt
Organism: Xiphophorus couchianus (Monterrey platyfish)
Lineage: Eukaryota; Metazoa; Chordata; Actinopteri; Cyprinodontiformes; Poeciliidae
Exons: 2
Source: RefSeq, a predicted model, not a curated record